RNA transcript from Mizuhopecten yessoensis (Yesso scallop), 1182 nucleotides. It is a transcript of the gene named complement C1q subcomponent subunit B-like, with no coding region annotated. The record is from RefSeq and is a predicted model, not a curated record. NCBI's taxonomy places the organism in Eukaryota, Metazoa, Mollusca, Bivalvia, Pectinida, Pectinidae. The transcript is spliced from 6 exons.
CCCACUGAUAAGACAGGCACAUUACAUUCUGGUUUUACACCUGACUUAUUGUCCAAGAAACAAACUUUUCACACCUGAACUGUCAAAAACAAGAAUGAAGUGGUUGAUUGUCCUAACACUUGUUGUUGUAGUUCGCUGCCAGGAAUAUGAAAGCCGGGUAGACGCCUUAGAACAGAUGCUCCAGAGGGUGCAGACUAAGACAACACACCAGAGCAACGUCAUCGAGGUUCUGAGACAAAAGAUAGUGGCGGUCGAACGAUCAGAGGACAACCUAAAGAACGCUUUAUCGGUUGAGAAGCGAGCGGCAGGCGACCCUGUCGUUGCUUUCACGGCCACCCGACUUGGGAACCUCACCAAUAUACCAAUCUACCACACUAUAGUGUUUGAGCAGGUCGGUGUGAAUGAGCACAAUGCCUAUAACAGCAAUACUGGGGUGUUUACGUGCCCUUACGACGGGUUGUACGAGUUUGCUUCCACUAUUGUUUCAGCAGGAGAACAAAGCAACCUCAAUUUCCAGGUAGACAAACAUGGCGGUCGCUUUGAAGCAUGCUUUCGCCUGGACAAUAUUCAUCCUCAGCUAUGGCCAACUGAUUGCAGAGGAUGACACAGACACUCGUAUUGUUGAUCUCGAGACCCUGGCAGCAAAAGUAGAUUUUUCUGCAUACAAAAAUGCAGAUCAAUUGGAUAAUCUUAAACUUCGAAUUCAGGAACUUCAAGAUGGUACAAAAAUGGACGGGAUAAAAGUAAGACAAGUGGCUGAUCCAAACAUCGGUUUUGAUGCUCGAGUGGUCGCUUUGAAACCCCAUUAUGUCGAUCAGCAGACAAUUGUAUUUAACCGUGUACAGGUCAACCAGGGUGGUGGCUACAGCAACACGACCGGCCGGUUCACAUGUCCCCAGCACGGCCUCUAUCAGUUUGCAGCAACCAUUCCGUCCCAGUUGAAUGGAACCAUUGAGUGUGAAAUGGUCAUGGACAACGUUCAAAUCGGACGUUUUAUGGCUAACGAACCGGGCUUUGAUCAGGCGACGCAGGUAGUAGUUCUCGAAUGUGGGGUCGAACAACAGGUAUGGAUCCGACAUCUUCGUGGAGUGCACGAUACAGGAAUCCUGGCCGGAAGGCACCACUUCCCGAGUUUUAGUGGUCACCUCAUAUCUUCAUUAUAAAUAAAGCCUAUGUCCAGCC